ACCCUGCACUUACAUUUUGGGAUUAGCAUUGAAGCAAAGUUAUUCAAACACGAUAACUUGCGUGUAUACUGAGUAAACUGCUUUGAAGCAUCGCCCCUUUAAAAAGUUAAGGCCUUUCACUGUAAAAACUCAAAUCUCACCAUGAUAGUGUCUAAUUUUCCAGUCAAUACAUACAAUAUAAGCCAGAUGUGCCUGAAAGGUUAGAUGGAAUCAUAUCACAAGCAAAACAUUAAUACCCAAAUUGCUCACACAUAUUAAAUACUGUAUGGCUAACAGUCUAGCAGGCAAAAUGUCUCAUACUAGAGUCCUGAAGUGAGCAUUGUAUCAUAGAUGACAAAAAAGUUGGACAGUACGAUUGGAAAUUUUUCAUGUGAACUCUCCUAUCUAUGUUGUUUUGCUUGUUAUUGAUUUUUUUUCCCCAUCAUGCAGCUACAGAGUGUGAUUUUCAUAAAACUACUAUACUGUCUACACUACACUACAUUUUCAUUUUCUAUGUUUGCUUUUUGCUUUUGUAUUCUUGUGCAGAACAAAUAAUCCAAAUCAACACUAUUUGUGGGCGCAGUGACCGGCAGAGACCGCAAUAAUCAGAGCAAAAAUAUUUCAUUCAAACAUAUUUUGCCACCUUUUAAAGUCAACAUGGCCAUUGCAACAUUUAACAGUUCCACCACUAAACUUUGUGCUUCUGUACUCUGAGUUUGCACAACAGCGUCUCUGUGUGCAUGUGGGUGUAUGCGUCUAAUGUGAAUGUUUUGAGUUUGACUGAUGGUGUGGCGGUGGUCAGAGCAGCAUGGAUCCAGAGUAGCAGCUGACAGGGUUCUCCUGCAGGGCUGUGCAGGGUAUCGAUCGCAUGAGUCUGGCCAGGUGUCUGCCUGGAGAGAAGGAGAGAGAACAAGAUCAGCCAUGCAGACAGAAGGAGAGAGGAUUGAGGGAGGAAAAGGAGGAGAGAGGGAGGACAUGGCCGGCUGGGUUGACCUUAAUGGAGGAUGGUUGUAAAGGUGCGCAUCUCAUGGGACAGCGGUUGAAAUGAGGGACCUGCAGAGGCAAACCUGCAGGCUAACCUUCGUUUAUAAGAACAUGAGUUUUAAGAAGCAUCUGUAUGAAUGCAAUCAUAAAUAAAAGAUAACUAAAUAUGUGUUUAUGACAUAUCUGAUCAAAAUAUUUUUGUGAGUGAACCAUUCCCUGCAGCGAUAUUACACUGGGAAAAACUCAGUCAGAAAAAAAAAUCCAGAACAAAGUGAUAAUUCAAGAUAUUACACACCAAAAAUAAGAUCUGAAUUGAUUAUAAUGAGUAAAAAAAAUGCAGAUCAAAAUAAUUUUUUCAUCAAGUUUCCUGAAAUAGAAAAAUGUCUUAAUUGAAUAACAUAGAAAAGUCAUCUUUAAUCUUCCACAGAUACAAAUAAGCUAUUUGUGAUGGAAAAUAUUCAAGCUUUUCAGGGAAAUGUGGCUUAAAAACAGCCUUUGUUGUCUUAUUUCCCAUUUAUAUGAGAAAUAAGACAACAAAACUUGCUAAGAUUUGAGUUUUUGCAGUGCAUUGAUUCCUUCUAUGCUGGCCCCUAUAAAAAAAGUGAAAUAUUUCCCCUUUCAAAUACAUUUGGUACCAAAUAAUGUUGCCAGUGACGGGGCCAUAAGGGUGGUGAAAGGUUGUCUUAUUUCUAUUUUUACUUUUAACAGGCUGCUUCUUGUUUUUUCCUAUUUUAAUAUGAAAAAAAUGGAAAAUGUUGACUUUAUGAGGAUUGAGUUUAGCAGAUUAAUGUAGUGCCACUCUGACGAGUUACCUUUCACAGUAAACAGUGAUAUUUAUAUGAGACACCAAAUUUGACAUGAUUAGCAUUGAUCGUCUUCCAGGGUUUGGAGAGAGUCUCUGAUGUCUACCACAUUUGGCUGCCCCAAAAAUGGAACACUGGCCCCACCACUGAGUUUUGUGUUCGGUUGCAUGGCAUCACCAGAGGGCGUACACACCUGAAUCAAUGUCCCUCCUUCUUUAUGAACUAUGUAUGGAUGACUUCUCCUGCUUCCUCAAGCUUUUGGAGGCUCAGCAGUGCCCAGUUUGUGACCCUCUAAGAUCUCACUAAUGAGACCAAGGGUGGUGCAUGAUGUACAUCUGUCCUCUGCCCCAAUAUUUCAGCAUUAACAGAUCUGUAAAUCAGUGAGUUUAUGAAUGACGAAUCUAAAUAUUCACUUUAUCUAUGAUAUAGCUCAUGUGAAAGUAUUAUGAAGCCUGCUUUCGCUCAAUGUUAUUAAUUCCAUCAUGUUUAUAUGAGGCACGAACUAGUUUCCAUAAAUUAGAGUGUGCCAGGUUCAGCAAAUAUUUAUUCUUUUGUGAAAAUUUGCUUCGUCAUCGCCUUAAUUCACUCAGAUUGACCAGUGAAAACCUUCAUCGCCUCUCCCACCCAAGGACAAAUCCCUUUAUCUCCUCUCUCUCCUUUCUUCCAAACAUCACAGCUGAGCAGGAUUUAUGUUGUGUGCUCGUCGGCUGCUCUGUUUUUUAUGUGAGUGGUGUAAACCCUUAACAGGCUAAUGCAUUAACAAUAUCCUCUUUUAAAAAUCCUAACCUACCUCCUCCCUCCUCACCCUGCAAACAGCUUAAGCAGCCAGACACCUCUUUCCCAGACAUCAUUUUAGGAAAGUAAUUGCGACCCUUACUCCAUCACUAACAUCCCCGCCUCCUUCUCUUCUGUUGCACACAUGCUUUUGAUGCCCCCCACUCUGCCUCUGGUAGUUAAGGGUAAGGGCUUAAAGGUGUCUUAUCUCAAAUUCAUCAUGGCUCCGACUGCUCCUGGGUCACUGCUGGACAGCCGUCACCCUCUGAGGGGGCUGUCAUUGUUGGUGGUAGAUAGGAGGGUAACACAAAGCACAGUCCAUAUGGUACACCUUUUCUAGGACUAUGGAGAGAGAGGCCCCAUUUAUGGACAAAAAUAUGAGGAAACCCUUCUUUAUCUGUAUGUCUGCAAGGCUGGGUUAACAAGCAAGGGAGGACAGUCAUGGCCUGACAUCCACAGGGUGUCAAAGGGCUUUAGUUUGGGGCAAUUGGCUGGUUGUAUUUCAAAGAAGUAACAGCUUACCCCAAAGUAAAUGGGUUUGGAUAAACAUUUUCCUCUGCAGAAGAGCAUUAUAGUUAAACAUAAAGGCUCUGGUAACCGAAUAUGAAGCAGCAGUGAUGGUUUUUGGAGAUAUGUUAACAAUUUUAAGGUUAUUUCACUUCUGAUGGUUUGUUCUGCUCAGAAGUGGGGUACUCAGUUGUUGGCACCCCAUAUAUGGAGGUUACAUUGGUUCCCAGGUGCCGGCAGAAUCUGGGGUAUGUCAUUCCCCUCACCUUUCUUGCAUUUCCAGUUGCUCUCUGUAUUUGUCUUGCCUGAUAAAGACAAAAAGCCACCACAAAAACAACAGCAUGCAUUUAUGAACCUACAAACCACAUAGGCAUAAGCAUUUGUUUUUCAUUGGAUAAGGGUUAUAUGCCUUUAGUUUGGCUUUUGGGGGGCAAAAUGUGACCUAAAUCAACAAGAGUGUUUAGUCAGAGUUAGAUUAGGGGUUAUCGUGAUUUGGCAAAAGAAGAACAAAAUGACACGAACUAACUCAACUUUGAAAAGGUAGUAAACAAGUUUCAAAAAGGUCCAGAUUUCUAAAAAUGUUUAACAAAAAUGACUGAAGCAGCAAAAUCAUUUACCAAGCAAGCAGUUUCCCUGAUAUUAUUCCUCUGGUUAUAAGUGUCACAUUCAUCAGUGUGUGCAGAAUCAGCACCAAAUGUCAGCUGACACACCCCCAGCACUCCGACCACACAGUGAGGGCAAAUCCCCCCGAUUAGAUUUGUAAAUCAAAAACCAAUACAUACAACAUGCAGGAAUUAAUUUGUUUUAUAUUCCUUGGUUACAUUUUUCGUGAAGCACAUUUGGAAGAUUUAGAAUGUAUUUGUGCCUGCUGCUCCCCACUAUUAUAUGCUUCAAUUCAUACAUCUAUUUGUGAGCCCAUAAAACAGGCAUUGACUACCCAUGUAAAUUGUGUUCCCCACAAUAAAUUAUAUGCAUACUUGCAAAAAUACAUAACUGCUGUCGGUCUCCGCGCUCCAUGUCACCGGCAUACUAAUAGCGCCAUGCUAGGAGGCCAAUGAUGCCACUUCCAUUAUUUUUCCAUUUAGCCGUAAUUUUGCGGAGGAAGUUGGAGUUGGUGAAAUUGCCUCCGUCUGUCUGCCCCCCCUUUUAUUCCUACCAUCCCUGCUCCUUGUCUCUCAGACUGGGCUCUGUAUCUCCUACUCUGUUUUUUCCUCCCCUCUCAUUCAGCUUGUGAGGCACGUGGGGGUUGUUUUCAUCCUGGUGAGUGGAUAGAAAACGCCAGUGACCUGUACACGCCUUCGGUUCAGUGGGCGAUUUUGUCUCAAGCUGCUGAGGCUACAAGCUCAAGGGUUAAAGGUCAAGUUAUCCCACAGUGAAAUGGACACCAUGGGAAAGUAAUGCAGCCAAAAUCUGCUCUGUAUGCCUGGCUGACACCAAGUAGAUGACUGUAUCAUGAACCCUUUAUCACUCCAGUCCAACAGAAUUGCACAUUAGUUUUCUGCAGCAGAAUACAGAUUUGAUCUCUAAAUAAUAUGUCUGUUUUUUUCUGGUGGGUAAAUACCCAGAAUGCUAAAGAAAAUAUUUCUUGGAGCUUAUAACUUACAGUCAGUUACGAAGCAAAAUGCUGCAACUUAAGACAUUUGCGUGGGUAUAAUGAUGCGUGGGUAACAUUUAGGGGGCAUGGCUUCAUUUUGUGAUUAAAGCCACUAACCCUCAUAUAUGGGCCAGAGAUUCACUGUCUGAGUUGGAUUCAAAAAGAUCAAUUGAUUGAUUUUAUUUGACUAUCAAAAAAUAUUUCCAUAUCUCUACAAAGGCGCUUUUCAGUAGAUGUUCAAAACAAGAAGAAAUUAAAUAAAAAAGAGUAGGUAAAAAUCUAUCUUUAGAUUAAUGUUGUCGUGCUAAUAGUCUGUAUUAAAGGAGGUAAGAAUCAAUCUGGUUUUCUCGCACAUUUCAAACAGCAGCUAUGAUCCUCCUCACUGCAUCAGCUUCAAUUUGAAAACCCAGUUCAAGAGUCAACCGCUGAGAACAACAGUUUUUCUUCACAGAGACAAUUGGCUUUGUCUUCAUGGCAGAGUUGGUUAUCACUUAGUUGGAAGGUUUGGGGUUUGAUUCCCUUUCUGAGUGUACACAUGUCCAAAAGGUUCUUGGGCAAGAAACUGAAUCCUAAAAUGACACAACUGGCUGCGUCCAGCUGUGCGUGAGUGGGGUUAGUAUAUACCGAUGGACGCUUUACUUCGCAGCUUCUUACAUCAGCGUGUGAGUGUGCUGUGAAUGGCAAAAUAACACAUGUAAAUACUAAACAUGGGUCGAGUCCAUUUACCAUAAACACUUUGUAGAAAGUGAGUAACAGCUGAUUCCUGCCUUUACAUUUAAAAGAUUGAAUCAUGUUGAUCCUCAAAGCAAAGGAAAACAUUGACUAUGUCAUGACAGUAGCUGAAGGCAAAACAAAGUGUAACUGGAGUGGUAUACUUAUCAUCAGUACAGGGUUGGAGUUUUAGAUCUUGUAUGGUUGUUGGUGCCAGAAUAGAAGGAGCAAUGUAUCAUCUGCAAAAACAAAGACAACCCUGACUCAAUACAGUAACAUUGAAGAGCUGGGAAGAAAUACAGUACUUGCAUGAGCAGUGCACGCUUCUUAUAGCCCGUAUUUCUUGUCCUCUUCGCUUAGUCUUGGCUUAACCCAUAUGCUUGUCUAUUCUGUCAGCGAAGUGUAAAUAUUGGACUGUUUCACCUUUGGAAGUCCUGUCUAACCAUCCGUGUAAGCUAAAAACAACUUGUUAGCGACUGCUAGUUAACUUGUCCAGGUGAUUGUUUUGUCUCCCAUUAAGGCCCACCCACCAAAAAAACAGCAGACUGUUUAUUCACACCAAAAAGCUCCAUACUUACCAAAAGUCUGGUGUGUGUGUGUGUGUGUGUGUGUGUGUGUGUGUGUGUGUGUGUGUGUGUGUGUGUGUGUGUGUGUGUGUGUGUGUGUUAGAGAGCGUAUGAGUCUUGAUUGUGGCAGUCUGGUCUGUGAGGAGGGUGCACAUACAGGGACUCGGGGCUGAAGGUCACCAGAGCUGCUGAGCUGAGCACACAUACACACAUGGAGUAAACACACAAACACACUCACUUCCAGCUCUGUUGACUCUCUCACACACGCACACACUCGCAGACACACACAGAAUAUACAGAGCUUUCACACAGCUCUUACGGUUGCGGAAAACCAAUAAAAUUGCAAAUUUCCCCUCAUAUUUUCACAAUAUCCUAAAUAAACAGCAGCCAGGCUUUGCUCAUCUCUCUCUCUCUCUCUCUCUCUCUCUCUCUCUCUCUCUCUCUCUCUCUCUCUCUCUCUCUCUUUCAUUAAAUAUUAAUCUGUACGUGGCUGGGAUGACUCCAAUCAGGGGAGUCGACAUAUAGGGAGACGAUGGCUGCCCCUCUCUGGGUAAACAUUGAGGAGAUUGUCACCCCACCACUCCCACCCCACUGCGACCCCAAACCAUCCACAUACAUGCAUACCCAUCUGCACACAAACACACAUCCACACUCAAACACUAGCUGCACCAUCACCACCAUCUAUCUCAUAUGGUGAUACACAAAAUAAACAAAUUUAUGCAGUCUGUUCUGAAUCGUCUUGAAAUAUCACCAUCAGAAAAAAAAAGAUUACACGUAAACAUUAGUGGAACUGAUCAAUUCAACAAAUUAUGACUUAAAAACAUCAGCAUAUCACAUGGGACACCAUCCAGAGACAGUCAAAUCAUAUCAGGCACAUCUUCGACCCACACAGUGCUCUCACAGUUUGAUUUGUCAACUUGAAGAAAACUUCCAUGAGUCCGGGUUGAAUUGCUGUAGCUACCAUGGAGCAGUUCAUUCAUAAUACAUCCAGUGGGUUCCCUGUUUAUUAAAUUAAACCAUAAAUUGGAUUCACUGAAGUCAAGGUAUUAUGUUUAUUUCCCUGCUGAAACAUGUAAAGGAAAUAAAAGGAAGACCGCAGUUCUGUAGGUGUCCACUGGAGGCUGUCUCUAAGGCCAAGAAGAUCUUUGUUUUGACUUGCUAAUUUUGUAUAUUCACCUAGAAAAAUUGAAAAUUAUGAAAGUUAAUGAAGCUAUAUCAAUUCUUUCAGUUCUUUGAAUUGUUUUGGGGCUUUUCUUGCUUGUUGGUUCUUAUACUUUGGUCUUAUACUUGUGAUUAAUUGUUGAAGCUGUAGUGGGAGUUGGAUGUAUACUGGGGUGCAUUAUAUUGAUAGGUGUUCCUAAUACUUUGCCCCCCUCAGGUUUGUUAAUGUAGUGGGCAAAAUAUAAGGGGCAGCUUUCAAUAUAACACAUUCCAGUACAUCCUGACCACCCACUCUGUCUUAAAGUAAUAUAAAGAGAAGUUAUCACCGUUCUGUCCAUGUCGACAGAAACUCAAGAUUCAGAAGCUUCAUGAAAGUAGAAUUUGAGGCAGGGCUGCUGGAUUCGAUUGCCCAGGUGUUCAUAAUGUUAUGGCUGGUCGAUGUAUGUAUAUGUACUAUUUAUAAAGACAAGCAAAGAACUGAACAGUUGUACAAUGUUAUUGGCAUGAUGUCAGCAGAGAAUAGCUAAAAAAAACUCACUGAUACAUCGUGGCAGAUUUGAACAUUUCUGCAGAUGUAAUUGCUGGCUGAAAAGGUGAUGCAUUGAUUAUGUGCAUGUGGUGACAGCUGUUAUGUCUAUAUUUGAAAAUAAGAGAUUUUUUUAUCCAUGGUUGAAUCAAGUUUUGUUUGUCUUGUUUUAGACUGUCACUACAAGAGUAACAGGUGCAAUGUGCUGCAAGAAAAACUUGUCAUUCUUUACAAUCAUAUUUUAUUAGUACUAAUAUUAGUAUCAGCUAAAAUGAUGAUAAAAGUAUGAGCAUACAUGAUAUCGGCAAACAUCCAAUCUAGUGCAUCCUUAAUUUUCAGUGUACAACACCUUCUGUGAAGAUUCUGACUUAAGAAAACUACAAUUUGUAAAGGGUGUAGGAUGAAGUGAAGCACUUAUUCAUUCCUUUUUCAUUUUGAAUUUAAUUCUUUAAAUCCAUUAAGUGCAGGUCAGGACACUCAGAAUAACACCAGAGAAUAUAGAUGUCCAAAAUAAUACACAGUGCGUAUUAAAGCCUUUAAAAUAUCAAUUAACUUGUGCAUUGAUAAUCCUGCCUUUAGCCUGGUGCCAUUUUUGAUUCCACGAAGACUCACAGUUUAUAAGAACGAGUGACGUCACUGAAACAUCCAUGUUUUAGACACUCUAUGGCAUCUGCUCAGCCUUCGAUUAAAGGCAUAAAGAAGGUCUCAUUCUGAUUCAAAAAGCUUCCAUUAUACGUAUUGUAUUUAACAGUAUUACCUGUUUUUUAUAGAAUAUGAUACAGUGAGGAGGAAAAUCUGUUAAAACUGUAAAUCACAAAUCAAUCCCUUGUAUUACACCACUUAUGAGAGUCAAUUUUCUAGCACAGCAGAGGCUUUACCCUCAGAGAGAUGGCAACAAAGCAUUUUUGUAAAAUGUGGAGUUUAAAGACAGUAACAUAAAAAUGUCAUUUCUUCAAGUAUUUUCAUUGAGUUCUAGAAAAUGUCAGAUCCUUGGUUUUGUUUGUGUUGAUCAUGUGGAUCUUUUAGAAUAGAAGAAAGGAAACACACCAGCAGGGAGUUAAAUUGAUAAUUUAUCGUGAAUCUUUUUAAGAAAAAUAUAAAAUUAGGGCUGUUUCUGCAGCUGCUUGUCCAGCACGUACCCUCUAAAAGAUUUACAAUAAACUAUAAAAAUCUUCACUCUCAACACUGAUGGUCCUGUUUGCUUUUGAGUAUCAUAAAAAGACAUCAAUAUGAAUUUCAGUCUAUUUUGUAAAGGCUAAAAAACUUCUCACAGGAGCUUUAAAUGUGAGUUAAAUCAUUUAAAAAUCUUUACAAUUUACAGCACAAAAAGCUGCACUAAUGCAUGUAGAGACACAUGAACACAACAGCAUUUUUGACCACUCAUAAACACUGAAUGUCUUACACACAUACACACACACAUAUGCACAUACACAAAUGCACACACACGCACAUACACACUAGAUAAGUUUUCCAUCAGCUGCUCCCUUCUCCCUUUCUCCUCUCACUCCCUCCCUCUUCUCCUCCUCAGUGCAGAUGGACUCCACGCUGCUGCGACCCCACAAGGGGCAGCAGAGGAACACGAUACAACACCUGCAGCUCCUAAACCACAGUGAACAGGUGGAGCAGAUUUUCUUUGUCUUAAACAUUAGACCAGAGAAAGACAAAAAAGAGAGGAACAGUGACAGGUAUGCCAAAAAGUGUGCAAAACAAACAUGCAUCAGGCAAGACAAAAGAUGAAAGAUAAAGAAAAAGACAAAUGCACAUAUUUGAUUGAACAGAAAUAAACAAGAAAAUGACUUAAUACAAACAAAUCAACAAGGAAAGAGAACAAAUAGAAAUCAAUGUAUGAGAGAGCUGAAAGGAAGAGCAAACAAAUCAGAGAAAAAAAGAGAGACAAAGCUGAGAUUGGACCACGAGAAAAACAAAUACUGGAGAAGUAAGACAAACAAAAAGACGAGAAAAAUACAGAAUUAUCAUGGAACAGCUUGGAAACUCUCAGAAAGUCUUUUUUUAAAUGGAGCUAGAGAGUAUAAAUAAGAACAAUGAUGAAAUUUGGAUGAAACCAGCUUCUCCAAAACACUUUUACAUGUCAGCGGACAUGUUAAAGCCCCACAGUCACACCUGUGUUAUCAGUUGCUGGCUGCUACCUGUGGACCCCUUUCACAGUGGGCACACAGGAAACACACACACACACACACACACACACACACACAUGUAGACACACAGAGAUCACGGUGAGUGUGUAGAAGGUGGUUGCAUGCCUCAGACACAGAGAGAGAAAGAGAGAGAGAGAGAGAGAGAGAGAGAGAGAGAGAGAGAGAAUGUGAGGCUAAUCACAGCAGCAGAAAAGCAGAAUUGAGCACAGAUCACACACGGGAUUAGCAAAAACCAGACUGAAAUUCCCACUAAUGUCUAAUUUAAGAAACAAACAAACAAAAAAAACAUCAAAAACAAAAUUACCUUUUAAAAAUGUAGUUAUUGUAGACAUAGUUUGAUAAGGCUAUAUUUUUUUUCAAGAAAGGAAAAACAAGACUUGAGGAGAGGUGACUUCAUUCACUAAAUACCUGUCCAAGUAAAAGAUUUCAAAAUAAAAGCAUCAUAUUGUAACAAGUGGUGUCUCUCUAGAGAAGUACUAGAUAGAACUUUUGUUUUGAAAAGGAUACAGACGAUGUAAUGAAUGUACUGACCUCAUGCCUAUAACUUAAAACUACUGUAACCAUCACCGCCCAACCCCUUUACAAUCCCAGCACAGCAGUUGUACAGAGAUGCCAGAGUGGUACUCUGUGGUCUCACCAUAGAGAUGUUAGACAGAACUUUUAUUUUUUAAAUUAUGCAGAAAAUUUCUGAGUGCUGGAUUUUUUUAAUGCCAGUUACAGAAUAACUGUUGACACAAAGCCAGUUUUCAUUGAUUUUGGCUGUAUAGGUCUUGGGAUAGAGACUAACUUUAGUGUCUGACCCUUAAAAUCGUUCCACAGCUGUGGCACCAUGCACAUGCAGGCAUCAUGCAGUGUCUUUUCUGUCAUGUCAUUAGUUUCAUUUGUACAUCUGUAUAAUCCCAAUCCUAUCAAAUGUUCAUCAUUACAUCUGUUUUUAAUGGUUUUUACCUAGAAUGGAAUGAAACUGAUAUUAUUAAACACUUCCUCUAACAAAGUCCAUCUUGACAUGAUGCAAGAGUUUCUUCUAAAAAGAGACCAAACUAGUCUUAGUGAGAGGAUGAAAAACAGACUCCAGGUUUUUUGGUGACUCAGUUUUGACCAAGAUAAAGAUGAAGUAAUUGUAGCAAGUCACAGGACAGGCAUAUUUAAAAUAAAAUGAAAUAAAAUAAAAUAGAAUAAACAGGCUUCAAGUCUUUCUUGACUUAAACAAGUUUUCAUCCUGUCAUCAAAUCUCUGAAAGAUUGGCAUCAUAAGAUCUACAUUAAUGUCUUGAAUUGUCUUCCAUGCUCAUCAGGCCCAGAAACCACAAGGUAAUUUCGGGUGUGGUGCACAUGCGCAAAACAAAAGAACAAUUUAGUCAAAUAUCUCAUCCCUGGACAAAUAAAUCUGCAUUUCCAUCCUAACAAAAAAACACCCUUGUCUCAGUAAAUAUAAUCUGACUUUCUUAGCCUCUCUGCAGCUCAUUUUAAUCUUUUGCAUAAAGGGAAAAGAUAAAUCAGCUACACUUGGAUACAAAUAUUGUGCUUGUUAGAGAUCUGCAAAUGGAAAAAUUACCGUCAAUAAAAAGAAUUACAUGACGUCUCCAGACACAUACUUUAAAUACAAACAAGGUUUGAUAUGUUUAAAUGAAAUGCAGAUUGAUGCUGUGUGCGGAUGAAUUCUUUAUUUGAAUAUUUCUCUCUCAGACAUGAGAUUUUUGCUCUUUUUCACAAUAAUUCUUCUUAACUCUAAAUGUUUAUUCUUCUUUAUGUUUAAAGGACACUAAAAGCUGAAAAACACCCUCAAAUCCAGUUAUGGCUUUACCACCUCUUUACAAUCUUGAGCUCUGUACAGAUGUGCAGCAGAGCGAGGGGCCUCUGUGAAUAGUUUACCAAGUACUCUUCUUCAAAGCUGUGAACAGGAAAUGCCAGGAGUGCAGUGGUGAGCUGCAUCUUCUGCCAAAGCUUAGUUAAAGAUCCUUCAUGUGGUGAAGUCACAGAAAACUAAAGAAAAUGUGGACACAGAUCCAUAAUUCUCCCCCACCCUGCUCAAUGAGUUACAGUGAGACUUAACAGCCUAAAUCUCAGCCUUCUGAAGCCUUUUAAAUGUUCGGUGGGAAGACUCUUAAUUAAGUGUGAGAUGUCUUUAUUUGACCAAAAACAGCUGAUAAAGUCUUUUCUUUCAACUCUCUAAACCACACUGAAAAAACAGGAACUAUAGCAGCAAAACCAGGAAGUUCCUGAUCUACUUGAGCUUAGUUCUGAUUGUGUUAUUGUAAUCACGCAACAAUGAUUUGGAUCAGCACACAAAAUUAAAAACAGAAAACUUACAUAUUAUCAAACCCAAAUAUCCAGUCCAGGUAGUGGUAGACCAGCCCUCAUCUUCUGCAGUGUGAAAUUACUGUUUUUCUCAAUAGGGUUCGGUGACUUCCAAAGAGAAACAGCUGUUACCAAGGCACCUUUCUGUUGUACAAAAUGAUCUACUUCUUUGGAGAUCCUUUCUGUAAUAUUGCCAGACACAAAGAGAAACACGUUAAGACUGAUAGUUACAAAUACAGGGACUUUCAGUCACAAAUUGUGUUUUUACCAGAGCUUUCGCUAUAGACCUGUGUCACCCAUUUUAUAGAGAGAUAAGAUAUUGACAUAGUGCUAAGAAUAAGCACUAUGCGAUACCAAAAGUUCAUAGCCGUGGUGGUUCAUACGCUGGUGGCAUGAAAUAGAAGAGAGAUGAGGAGCAGCAGCUGCUUGCGAUCUUGCUGUAGCAUCCUUUUAACAAAUGAACUGGCACUUUUUAAAACUUUUGCUCUGACUUAUUGUGAAUCCAGAUAUAACUUUAGAGCUUGUGCCUCUUCAGGUUCGAACAUUAUUUGUUUCUGACCAAUGUUUUAGUUUCUAUUCAGACGAGAGAGAAAAAAACUCAAAAUAAAAGCAUGAUAAAUAUUCCUUUUAUAAACUUUGCAGUUAUUGUGAAACAAACGGAAACAAUAUCCAUGAACCGUCUCCUUAAUCUCAGUCUGACUGUCUCUUUCUCAGAGAAAAACUAAAUUUCAAACAUUUAUUUACAGACUUUGUGAUGACGGUGCACCGACUGUGAUGCAUGCUUUGGAAUCCCAUCCCAGAAAAACACAUCACCUCUCCAUCCCCCUGCCUCCGUCACACUGUAUUACUUCCAUUUUCCCAUCACUUCUGCAGCUCACACUCUGUCCGCCCUCAUUUCCUCCUCCUCUCCCUCCAACCAUGAUCAAAGUUUCACAUCCCUUCCCUUUCCUUUUUCACCCCCGUCCCCCUCUCAUGUCCCACUCCCCCACUCGACAUAUUGUCUGACACACUCGCAACGGAGACCUCAGCUAAACCCUGCUGCACACACACACACACACACACAUACACAUGCACACACUUGCAAACAGAAGAACAGUCCCCCCCUCUCCUCUCCCC
Molecule: non-coding RNA, 13174 nt
Organism: Xyrichtys novacula (pearly razorfish)
Lineage: Eukaryota; Metazoa; Chordata; Actinopteri; Labriformes; Labridae
Source: the annotation of a GenBank genome assembly